This 329-nucleotide ribosomal RNA is filed under the name uncultured eukaryote. RNAcentral's name for it is "partial 18S ribosomal RNA". It matches the Rfam family "Eukaryotic small subunit ribosomal RNA", at positions 1470 to 1796 of the family's 1831-position model. The record is from RNAcentral.
CCCUUAGAUGUUCUGGGCCGCACGCGCGCUACACUGAUGCAUUCAACGAGUCUAAAACCUGCUCUGAUAGGGGUGGGUAAUCUUUUGAAUGUGCAUCGUGAUUGGGAUAGAUGAUUGCAAUUUUUCAUCUUCAACGAGGAAUGCCUAGUAAACGCAAGUCAUCAGCUUGCAUUGAUUACGUCCCUGCCCUUUGUACACACCGCCCGUCGCUCCUACCGAUUGAAUGAUCCGAUGAUUAUCAUGGAUUGAGGAUGCAAGUAGGUUAGCCUAUCUUCAUCUUCGAGAAGUGAAGUAAAUCUUAUCAUUUAGAGGAAGGAGAAGUCGUAACA